CGGUGGAGCAUGUGGUUUAAUUCGAAGCAACGCGAAGAACCUUACCAGGUCUUGACAUCCUCUGAAAACCCUAGAGAUAGGGCUUCUCCUUCGGGAGCAGAGUGACAGGUGGUGCAUGGUUGUCGUCAGCUCGUGUCGUGAGAUGUUGGGUUAAGUCCCGCAACGAGCGCAACCCUUGAUCUUAGUUGCCAUCAUUAAGUUGGGCACUCUAAGGUGACUGCCGGUGACAAACCGGAGGAAGGUGGGGAUGACGUCAAAUCAUCAUGCCCCUUAUGACCUGGGCUACACACGUGCUACAAUGGACGGUACAAAGAGCUGCAAGACCGCGAGGUGGAGCUAAUCUCAUAAAACCGUUCUCAGUUCGGAUUGUAGGCUGCAACUCGCCUACAUGAAGCUGGAAUCGCUAGUAAUCGCGGAUCAGCAUGCCGCGGUGAAUACGUUCCCGGGCCUUGUACACACCGCCCGUCACACCACGAGAGUUUGUAACACCCGAAGUCGGUGGGGUAACCUUUUUGGAGCCAGCCGCCUAAGGUGGGACAGAUGAUUGGGGUGAAGUCGUAACAAGGUAGCCGUAUCGGAAGGUGCGGCUG
Molecule: ribosomal RNA, 590 nt
Filed under: Escherichia coli
Lineage: Bacteria; Pseudomonadati; Pseudomonadota; Gammaproteobacteria; Enterobacterales; Enterobacteriaceae
Description: bacterial SSU rRNA
Rfam family: Bacterial small subunit ribosomal RNA
Source: RNAcentral